ACAUAGGUUAACGAGGCGAACCGGGGGAACUGAAACAUCUAAGUACCCCGAGGAAAAGAAAUCAACCGAGAUUCCCCCAGUAGCGGCGAGCGAACGGGGAGCAGCCCAGAGUCUGAAUCAGCUUGUGUGUUAGUGGAACGGUCUGGAAAGUCCGACGGUACAGGGUGAUAGUCCCGUACACGAAAAUGCACAGGCUGUGAACUCGAAGAGUAGGGCGGGACACGUGGUAUCCUGUCUGAAUAUGGGGGGACCAUCCUCCAAGGCUAAAUACUCCUGACUGACCGAUAGUGAACCAGUACCGUGAGGGAAAGGCGAAAAGAACCCCGGCGAGGGGAGUGAAAAAGAACCUGAAACCGUGUACGUACAAGCAGUGGGAGCACCUUCGUGGUGUGACUGCGUACCUUUUGUAUAAUGGGUCAGCGACUUAUAUUCUGUAGCAAGGUUAACCGUAUAGGGGAGCCGAAGGGAAACCGAGUCUUAACUGGGCGUUAAGUUGCAGGGUAUAGACCCGAAACCCGGUGAUCUAGCCAUGGGCAGGUUGAAGGUUGGGUAACACUAACUGGAGGACCGAACCGACUAAUGUUGAAAAAUUAGCGGAUGACUUGUGGCUGGGGGUGAAAGGCCAAUCAAACCGGGAGAUAGCUGGUUCUCCCCGAAAGCUAUUUAGGUAGCGCCUCGUGAACUCAUCUUCGGGGGUAGAGCACUGUUUCGGCUAGGGGGCCAUCCCGGCUUACCAACCCGAUGCAAACUACGAAUACCGAAGAAUGUUAUCACGGGAGACACACGGCGGGUGCUAACGUCCGUCGUGAAGAGGGAAACAACCCAGACCGCCAGCUAAGGUCCCAAAGUCAUGGUUAAGUGGGAAACGAUGUGGGAAGGCACAGACAGCCAGGAUGUUGGCUUAGAAGCAGCCAUCAUUUAAAGAAAGCGUAAUAGCUCACUGGUCGAGUCGGCCUGCGCGGAAGAUGUAACGGGGCUAAACCAUGCACCGAAGCUGCGGCAGCGACACUAUGUGUUGUUGGGUAGGGGAGCGUUCUGUAAGCCGUUGAAGGUGUCCUGUGAGGGGUGCUGGAGGUAUCAGAAGUGCGAAUGCUGACAUAAGUAACGAUAAUGCGGGUGAAAAGCCCGCACGCCGGAAGACCAAGGGUUCCUGUCCAACGUUAAUCGGGGCAGGGUGAGUCGACCCCUAAGGCGAGGCCGAAAGGCGUAGUCGAUGGGAAACAGGUUAAUAUUCCUGUACUUGGUGUUACUGCGAAGGGGGGACGGAGAAGGCUAUGUUAGCCGGGCGACGGUUGUC
RNAcentral lists this ribosomal RNA (1297 nucleotides) under Enterobacter asburiae. Its description in RNAcentral is "partial 23S ribosomal RNA". It matches the Rfam family "Bacterial large subunit ribosomal RNA", at positions 164 to 1506 of the family's 2925-position model. Lineage: Bacteria; Pseudomonadati; Pseudomonadota; Gammaproteobacteria; Enterobacterales; Enterobacteriaceae. RNAcentral also lists the same sequence under 1 other name. The record is from RNAcentral.